ACUUGAAGGGUUUUGUGGCAUGGUAUUUUUGGGAAGAAAAAGAUGAGCGUCGGUGUUUAGCCAUUUCACAAAAUUCACACUGGAAAGAAGAUGGACUUUUAUUCAUAAAUAACUGAGGAUGACCAAGUCUAUAGUGCCAUAACAUGACUUUAUUAUCAACUAGAACAGAAUUCAAACAAGUUGAACUAAAAUUUGCUGAUUUGUCACCAUCUUCAAGAAAAUAGAGACCUUCAGACUCUCUAGCAUUGCCAAUCGUCCUCCCCGAGACCUUGUCCUGAAAUACACAUGAAGUAGAGUCAAAGAUAGCACGACAAUUAAGGUUUCGAGUCAAUUUGCUGAUGGACACAAGAUUGCAAGACAAUUUUGGAACAUGAAGGACAUCAAAAAGAGUCAAAUGAGGGGUUAAUUUGAUUGUCCCUUUUCCAGCAAUUGCUGAGAAGGAACCAUCAGCAACUCUGACUUUUUUAUUUCCUGCAGAAGGAGUGUAAGUCAAGAAAAUAUGAGAAUUCCAUGUCAUGUGAUCACUAGCCCCUGAAUCUAUAAUCCAAAAACUCACACCUGUUGAAUUUGUACUCAUAAAAACAGAUGGUACAGUACCUGUUUGGGAAAAAGAACAAGUGGGAGUGGAAGGAUCGGGUUUACUGGUUUGGAGUUGAGAUUGGAGAAGUUUGUGCAGUAGCUCUAAUUGCUCCUUGGUGAAUGGUGGCACUUCUAGAGAAGGUUGCAGCCCUGAUUCUUCGCUGGAACUCUGAAAGGCCUGGCUGCCACGGUUGUCUGCCCCCUUUUUCUUCCAGUUAGGCGGUUUCCCAUGGAUUUUCCAGCAGGUCUCACGAGUGUGCCAGUAUUUUUUUGCAAAGAUCACACCACGGCUUCUUUUUCUUGUCAUUUUCAUUUUUCGCAGCAACUAGAGCAGAGGAAUCUAUAUUUUUUCCUUCCAGAUUAGACUCUAAUUUUAGCAUAACAUUCCUCCUUGUUUCUUCUCGCCUAAUCUCAGAAAAAGUUUCCCUCAAAGUGGGCAGUGGGUUUUUUCCAAGAAUUCGUGAACGAAGUUCAUCAAAUUCUUGGUUCAAUCCUGCUAGAAAUAGAUAUACCCUCUCAUUUUCUUCUUUUUUCAUUGCUUUUACACUAUCCUUAGGACACUCCCAUUCAUCAUUAUAGCAUUGAUCUAAUUCUUGCCAUAAGGAAACCAUCUCAUUAUAGUAAAUAGUAACACCCCUCUCCCCCUGCCUAGCUUUCCGCAGUUUAAUUUUUAAUUCAAAAAUCUGAGAAGCAUUUUCUACGUCAGAAUAAGUCUCUCUAACAGCCUCCCAAACAUCCCUAGCAGUGGGAAGAAACAAAUAUGGUUUACCUAUGGCAGCUUCCAUGGAGUUUAGUAGCCAAGCAAUUACCAUUGAGUUUUCUGAUCUCCAGGCAUUCAUUUUUGGGUCUCCUGGUUCAGGCUUUUUUGUCUCUCCAGUUAGGUGCCCAAGUUUUCCUCGACCAUCAAUAGCCAAACGAACAGACUGCGCCCA
Molecule: long non-coding RNA, 1511 nt
Organism: Lycium ferocissimum
Lineage: Eukaryota; Viridiplantae; Streptophyta; Magnoliopsida; Solanales; Solanaceae
Exons: 2
Source: RefSeq, a predicted model, not a curated record